Molecule: ribosomal RNA, 695 nt
Filed under: uncultured fungus
Lineage: Eukaryota; Fungi
Description: eukaryotic LSU rRNA
Rfam family: Eukaryotic large subunit ribosomal RNA
Source: RNAcentral
ACCCGCUGAACUUAAGCAUAUCAAUAAGCGGAGGAAAAGAAACUAACAAGGAUUCCCCUAGUAACGGCGAGUGAAGCGGGAACAGCUCAAAUUUGAAAUCUCGCGGUUUUUCCGUGCGAAUUGUAGUUUAUAGAAACGUUUUCGGGGGUGGCUCGGGCAUAAGUCCUUUGGAAUGAGGCAUCAUAGAGGGUGAGAAUCCCGUCUUUGGUCCGAAGUCCGCUCCUAUGUGAUGCGUUUUCUAAGAGUCGGUUUGUUUGGGAAUGCAGACCAAAAUGGGUGGUAAAUACCAUCUAAAGCUAAAUAUUGGCGAGAGACCGAUAGCGAACAAGUACCGUGAGGGAAAGAUGAAAAGAACUUUGAAAAGAGAGUUAAAAGUACGUGAAAUUGUCAAAAGGGAAACGCUUGAAACCAGUAUUGCUUGCAGGUAAUCAGCCGUCCCUCUUGGGUCGGUGCACUUGCCUGUCGGCGGGUCAACAUCAGUUUGGCUCGGGAUAAAAAGCCUGGAGAAGGUGGCCCCUCUCGGGGGGUGUUAUAGCUCCGGGUCAUGUUUUGGGUUGGACUGAGGUCUGCAGCGUUAUUUGGGUAGCCAGUCGCCUCUCGAAGCCUUUUCGCAGACAGCACGCUGACUGCGGAACGGUCUAGGGAGCACGGUUGGGAUUCCACACCAACGCUUAGGAUGUUGACGAAAUGGUUUU